GACGAACGCUGGCGGCGUGCUUAACACAUGCAAGUCGAACGGAAAGGCCCCCACCUUGGUGGGGGUGCUCGAGUGGCGAACGGGUGAGUAACACGUGGGUGAUCUGCCCUGUACUUCGGGAUAAGCUUGGGAAACUGGGUCUAAUACCGGAUAGGACCAUGGUUUAGUGUCUCAUGGUGGAAAAAUUAUUGUUUUGGUGCAGGAUGAGCUCGCGGCCUAUCAGCUUGUUGGUGGGGUAAUGGCCUACCAAGGCGUCGACGGGUAGCCGGCCUGAGAGGGUGGACGGCCACAUUGGGACUGAGAUACGGCCCAGACUCCUACGGGAGGCAGCAGUGGGGAAUAUUGCACAAUGGGCGCAAGCCUGAUGCAGCGACGCCGCGUGGGGGAUGACGGCCUUCGGGUUGUAAACUCCUUUCGUUAGGGACGAAGCCACACCUUUUUU
Molecule: ribosomal RNA, 442 nt
Filed under: Corynebacterium matruchotii
Lineage: Bacteria; Bacillati; Actinomycetota; Actinomycetes; Mycobacteriales; Corynebacteriaceae
Description: bacterial SSU rRNA
Rfam family: Bacterial small subunit ribosomal RNA
Source: RNAcentral